This 571-nucleotide long non-coding RNA is filed under the name Homo sapiens (human). RNAcentral's name for it is "non-protein coding lnc-SVBP-1:9". The record is from RNAcentral. Lineage: Eukaryota; Metazoa; Chordata; Mammalia; Primates; Hominidae.
GUAGACUCAGAGAAAACUUGCGAAGUUUAGGAUGGAGCUGAAGAGACUGGGUUCCGUCCUACGGUGGGAUUUCUUUCCGUGCUCGCGCGUUCAGCCCCAAGUCUCAGGGCCACUCGUCUGGGAAGUUGUAGAAUCUGUAUAGCCAACCUACACAACCUCCAAGGGGCCUGCUGCCAUCAGACUGGAACUAAACCAUCAGCUCUCAUGGGACUCCAUCUUGCUGACUUAUCCUGCAGAUCUUGGGAUUUAACCGCCUCCAUAAUCACGAAUCCUCCCUCCAGGUCACUGGGAGCUUCAAUUCCUUAGAAGAAAGAAAGAGAUGACUCCUGCUUCAUAGUCCAGGAAAAUCCCCACACACCGUGGAGGCUCUUUAAGGCGGAAGGAGGUCUGCGGGGAUGUGAGAGCUUCAUACUCAUUCCCACGACUCUGUCGCAGAAGCCAGUGUCCAUUGGCAGAAGCAACUAUCACCAUACUAUGAAGUAGCACAAGCCCUUCACCAGAUACAGUCGCCCAAUCUUGGACCAUCCAGCCCCAAGAACCAUGAGCUAAAUAAACCUUUUUCCUUGAUAAA